GCCAAGAAUGACCAUCAGUAGUUGUUCCCUUAGUCGCUUCUUUUUGUUGUAAUGAGCUUGUAAGUGUUUGGCAAAUAUUACUCUUUUGAAAGGAGAAACCUGAAAAAUAUUAUCUAUUGACUAAUUUCUUCCGUUUUCUAAAUGCUAUAAACAUUUUAUGUGAAACAAACAGUGCCUCAGUGAUGUUUCUUAUUUGGUUGGAUUUUCCACAGUAAUUAAUAUGUUUUCUUGAGAUCUAUAAUGAGUACCACAAGGCUCUUAUCAGUCCUUGCAAUAAUUGUCCAUCAUGGGUUAUUUCAUUUCACUCUUUUGUUUUAUCUAAUCA
RNAcentral lists this unclassified non-coding RNA (325 nucleotides) under Hevea brasiliensis (rubber tree). Lineage: Eukaryota; Viridiplantae; Streptophyta; Magnoliopsida; Malpighiales; Euphorbiaceae. The record is from RNAcentral.